GCAGGGGUGAGGAGGUGAUGUCACCGCAUCCGGCGCCCAAGUGCCCGGAGCUGGAGCGGAGAAUCCGGGACUUCCCAGGAGAGAACAGUCUCCAGGGGGCCGUGACGGGAUUCCUGGGGGCGCUGGCUGUGGAGAGAGGAUUCAGGCGAGCCCGAGAAUUCGCAGGUAACUGGCCUUGCUCUGGUGUCGGUGACGCCAUCUC
Molecule: non-coding RNA, 202 nt
Organism: Pelodiscus sinensis (Chinese soft-shelled turtle)
Lineage: Eukaryota; Metazoa; Chordata; Testudines; Trionychidae
Source: RefSeq, a predicted model, not a curated record